GCCGGGUUAGCUCAGUGGUAGAGCAACCGCCUUGUAAGCGGUUGGUCGUGGGUUCAAUCCCCACACCCGGCUCCA
RNAcentral lists this transfer RNA (75 nucleotides) under Actinomycetes bacterium. RNAcentral's name for it is "tRNA-Thr". It matches the Rfam family "tRNA". From Rfam's summary of the family: Transfer RNA (tRNA) molecules are approximately 80 nucleotides in length. Their secondary structure includes four short double-helical elements and three loops (D, anti-codon, and T loops). Further hydrogen bonds mediate the characteristic L-shaped molecular structure. tRNAs have two regions of fundamental functional importance: the anti-codon, which is responsible for specific mRNA codon recognition, and the 3' end, to which the tRNAs corresponding amino acid is attached (by aminoacyl-tRNA synthetases). tRNAs cope with the degeneracy of the genetic code in two manners: having more than one tRNA (with a specific anti-codon) for a particular amino acid; and 'wobble' base-pairing, i.e. permitting non-standard base-pairing at the 3rd anti-codon position. Lineage: Bacteria; Bacillati; Actinomycetota; Actinomycetes. The record is from RNAcentral. RNAcentral also lists the same sequence under 4 other names.